AUUGAACGCUGGCGGCAGGCUUAACACAUGCAAGUCGAGCGGGGGAAGGUAGCUUGCUACCGGACCUAGCGGCGGACGGGUGAGUAAUGCUUAGGAAUCUGCCUAUUAGUGGGGGACAACAUCUCGAAAGGGAUGCUAAUACCGCAUACGUCCUACGGGAGAAAGCAGGGGAUCUUCGGACCUUGCGCUAAUAGAUGAGCCUAAGUCGGAUUAGCUAGUUGGUGGGGUAAAGGCCUACCAAGGCGACGAUUUGUAGCGGGUCUGAGAGGAUGAACCGCCACACUGGGACUGAGACACGGCCCAGACUCCUACGGGAGGCAGCAGUGGGGAAUAUUGGACAAUGGGGGGAACCCUGAUCCAGCCAUGCCGCGUGUGUGAAGAAGGCCUUAUGGUUGUAAAGCACUUUAAGCGAGGAGGAGGCUACUCUAGUUAAUACCUAGGGAUAGUGGACGUUACUCGCAGAAUAAGCACCGGCUAACUCUGUGCCAGCAGCCGCGGUAA
This 501-nucleotide ribosomal RNA is filed under the name uncultured bacterium. RNAcentral describes it as "partial 16S ribosomal RNA". It matches the Rfam family "Bacterial small subunit ribosomal RNA", at positions 30 to 523 of the family's 1533-position model. The record is from RNAcentral.